This is a non-coding RNA of Spodoptera litura, 1487 nucleotides long. Lineage: Eukaryota; Metazoa; Arthropoda; Insecta; Lepidoptera; Noctuidae. The record is from RefSeq and is a predicted model, not a curated record.
UCAAAUUAUUGAUAAAUAAAAGUCGUUAUGGGAAUUAAGCAAGAAACGUUAAACGGGAAAUGGCAAAUGAAUUGCAUGUUUUUCACGGUGGUCGGUUCAAUUUUGUAUGAUACACAACCCUUGUGUACAGUUUUUUUGUUGACGACUAAAAACGCCAGUGGCGCCGCCAUUAGUAAACUAAGACGACAAAAUUGUAAAUAUAAAUGUCUUGGCAAAAUUGUCAACAAUAACCUUUUCAUUGUCUAAAUCAAUUCCACGCUUAAUGUAUUAGUAAUAAGGUUCAGGAUUGGUUACUAACAGUAUAAUGUAAUUGCAUGUAAACAUCAGACUCUACCCUCCCAUGUCCCAAACUUUCUUCAUAAACGAAGAGCCAGAGCAUAAGCCGAACAAUAUGUGGAAGGAAUAUUCCGAAGCUGCAGCCGUGGGUAGCUCACAAGACAAAGCUAAAGUGUAUGUACUCUACGACUAUUCCAUAGUUAGAAGUAGUUUAUUAUUUUUUACUAUUCAUUUAAUUUUUAUAUUAAAAAGCGUGAACUAAAAGUCGAUAAAAUUAAUGUGUCAAUAUCGACUUUGUGGCACAGCUUUAUGACACUUUGACUUUUAUUUUAUUAAUUUACCGAACUAUUUAUAAACGUAUUUAUUAUUGUUGUUCAAAACCUCGACUUAGACAAGGAUUUUGGGUAAUUGAUUAUUUUAUUAAGUUUGUUUUCAAAAUGGCUCGUUUUCAACCAUUCCUUUCCCUACCACUUUCUAACACACACUACUAUAAUAUUAGAAUGUAUUCUGUAUCCUAUACUCAAUUAAGCAAUGAAAUUCGUACUUACAGAUUGUGUACUAUAAGUGCGAAAUUCAACUUAACCUACUGUAAAUGAGUUUUCAUUAUAUUCAUAUUAUUUAGGUAUUAUAUUUAUUGUAUAACUUUCAUCUUAAUCAUCUAGUUAUUUGUACCGUAUUCAUUGUCAGUUUCAGAUUUGCCUACUAGACUUAAUUACAAUAACUUAAGACACAUUUUGUGUGGACCUUAUUUUUUUAAUCUUAAGGAAUCUUUAGUUGUAUGUAGUUAAAUCUACUGACAGAUUAUUUCAGGAUAUGAGCUAUCUUUAUUUCUACCUCACUAAGAGCCUGUUUCACCAACUUCAUACAAGAACCAGAUAAAAGCAAAAUAUUACAAAUUUCUACAUUCAAAGGACAGUGUGAACCAAAUGUAUGGAGUCUGGGCCCACCCCUCAAUAGCAACAUGUGAUACGCCGUUGGAUAGGGAUUUUCAAAUAGAACAAUAGUUACUAAUAUACCUAUGAUCAAAUGUUAGUAUCCUCGGAGGUACGACGUCCUAAAGACAUUUCAAAUUCAAUCUGAAAUCCAUAGAGGGGUAAUUUUAUUCUUAUUGAGAGAUGGGCCCAAAAUUACCCAUUGUCCUUUAUCUAGUACAUAGCGGCUAUUUAGACAUAGUGAAACAGGCCUUAAACCUACAAAGCCAUUACAAAGAA